Long non-coding RNA from Brassica rapa (field mustard), 7172 nucleotides. RefSeq lists it as uncharacterized. Lineage: Eukaryota; Viridiplantae; Streptophyta; Magnoliopsida; Brassicales; Brassicaceae. The record is from RefSeq and is a predicted model, not a curated record.
CGUGGUGACCGAGCUUGGUUUGUUCGGUUUGAAUCCCAAAGGAUACUUCUUCGUAAAAACUUCAUAUUGGUUAUUUUUACGAAAAUUACAUCUCCUCUUUUACUAUCUCUUUUGGAAAUACGAUCUCCGAGGAUUUUCGGGUGGUAAUUCCGUGGUAACCGUUUUUGACCCCAACAGGGAUGGUUGGAACCGUCAGUACGUGUUCGUUAAGAUUCAUGAGCCUGUGGGUUACCUUACGUCUUGGCGUACCGUGGGUGAGCUUUUCUUCUAAGUUUUGAAUUUUACCAUACUUUUGGGGACCUGAUUGUUGGGGUCAAAAACGGUUGCGACGAAGUUAACAUUCAAAACGUCAAAAGAAGAAAGUAAGAAUUGUUCUACGACAAAUACUUUUUCGGAAAAGAUUUGUUCUUACGAAGAGCUUUGCGGAAGAAACACGAGACAUCGGAGAAAAGCCCGAAUAAGGUCGCACGCUCUUCCGAAACAUCGAUACGAUGCGAAUCCGUGCACUCUCGUCUACCCUUUGAUGCUAUCUCCCGAAGAUCGUUGCAAACCCAUUUCGUGUUUUCCGUCAUUGGAAGUCAUCAAUCAAACUUUACGAUAAAAACCGCUAAAAGUUUGUUUUAUUGAAAAAAGUCGUAAUUAACGCUUUAAGUCAAAAGAUGGCCCAAACGGAUUUAAGACAUGACUCGAAGCCCAUUUUACGAUUUCUUAACCAGCAGCCCGUAUACCGUAGGACGGUUUACGCUUGGUUCGCAAGGAAAGAUAAAUGUCAAAUUUCCGCGGAUAAAUACAAAAUUUUGAAGAUAAUUACAAAGAUCGGGAAAAUGGAAUAUCUCCAUUUUUAGGCUAUGACGGCUUAAGGGCAGAAGGGGAAAAGCGUAAACCAACCUAAGAGCGAGUAUAUAAGGAGUCCAAGGAGAGAGGCAUGGGGGGAGAACUUUUUGGACAGAAAACUUAGUACUUAGAGCAAUUAGGCAACUUUCUGUUUUUGUUAUUUCGAGCUGCGAAUCAAUUAGGUUUAGCAUUCUUAGGGUUACUAGAACUAGGAAUCUUGCCGACAGCUCUCGAGCCCAGGCUUAUACCUUGUUGUAAACGCUCAUACGCAAAUUCGGAAUAAGACUUCUCUUUGCUCUCUUUUUACGAUUUUUAUACUUUGUCGUUGUUAUCUCGUGUUCUGAUUGCUUAGCGUUUGGUAUUAGCAGAUAUCCGGGACCUCUGGGAAAUUAGUGUUCUCCUAAUUUCCUAAUUUAAACAGAAAUUGACAGUGCAAAUUUCGGUUCCCACAGUUUGGCGCUAGAAGAAGGGGGGGGUACGGAUCAAUCUAACCCGCAAAAGCCACUCAAUGAUCAGGAAAGAUAUGCAAGACUCGACGUGCGUGAACGUCAUCUCGUUCAAGGGGGGAGAAACGGUCGAUCAUGCCAAACCUUGUAACGACCUCCUUGUUAUCGAGCUAACGAUUCGAGAUAUCGAUGUCGCUAGGGUGCUAAUCGACACCGGAAAUUCGGUUGAUAUCAUCUUCAAAGAUACUCUCGAAAAAAUGGAGAUCGAUCAGUCCAAAAUCGUAAAACAUCCUAGCCCACUGUUGGGACUAUCAGGAGAAACCACCAUUGCCUACGGAUCGAUUAAUCUCGCAGUCAAAGCUGGGACCGUGACAAGAGUCACAGAGUUUCUAGUCGUUGACCGUCCCGCAUCUUACAACGUUAUCAUGGGAACGCCACAAUCCCCUCAACGUACCACCUUUGCCUCAAAUUCCCAACCUCAAACGGAAUCGAGGUAAUAUGGGAAAAUCCAAGAGUAUCGCAGGUGUGUUUCGCCGCAGAACAAAAACGAAAAAUACCAGACCUUGAAACCACUCCUAGAAAAGUGGAGAAAAAGGUCUCUGACAAAAAUUCGCGAAGUCAAGAUCUAUAGUGUGUUGGCUAACCAGCAAACGACACACAAAGAUGAUUGGCUGACCACCAAAUCAACAAGCCGGUUCAAACCGAUGAACUAGCUAAAAACUCUCCCUCUCACUCAGAGAAAAGAAGAAUAGAAAAUAAACAACAAAAAAACUGAAACUGCUUUUAUUCAUCAAAGGGACUACAUAUUUAUAGUGUUUUGUAGUCAAAGACAAUUAAAGAAAAUGUGGGAAAACAAUGCAUACAAAAUACAAAUUUGACUAGAUCUAGUCAAAGCACGGAAAUUGGAGAAGACUAUAUCUGGUCAAGGCACGGAAAAUGGAGAAGACUAGAUCUGGUAAAGGCACGGAAAAUGGAGGAGACUAGAGCACGCGUACUGCUCGGUCGCUACGUAGACACCAAGCUCGGAACCAAGCUUGGUCACUACGUAGUGACCGAGCACAUGCACGUUUCGAUCAUUACGAAGCGUUCGAGCUUUCUCAAAACGUCAAUACGACGCGAAUCCAUGCAUUCUCGUCUACUCUUUUAUGCUAUCUCCCGAAGACCAUAGCUGAACAAUUUCAUGUUUCUCGUCACUCGAAGUCAUCGAUCAUACUUUACGGUAAAAACCGCAGAAAGUUUGUUUUUAUCAAUGAAACCGUAAUAAACGAUUCGAGUCAAAAGACGGCCCAGAGAGACCUAAGACGCGACUCGAAGCCCACUUACGAUUUCUUAACCUAUAGCCCGUAAGCCGUAUGAAGCUUUAUGUUUGGUUCACAAGGAAAGAUAAAUGUCAAGUUUCCCCGGAUAAAUAUGAAGUUUUCGAAUAUAAUUACAAAGAUCGGGAAAAAUAGAAUAUCUCCAUUUUUAAACUAUGACGGCUUAAGGGCAGAAGAGGAAAAGCGUAAACCGACCUAGGAGCGAGUAUAUAAGGAGUCCUAGGCGAGAGGCAGGAGGGAGACUUUGACACAGCAAACUUAGCACCUUGGAGCAAUUUUAGGCAAUUUUCCGUUUUUGUUAUUCGAGCUGCGACUCAAUUAGGUUUUUGCCGUCUUAUGGGUUUUAGAACUAGGAAUCUCGCCGACAAUUCUCAUUGCCCAGGCACUUACCUUGUCGUAAACGCUCGAACGCAGAUUCGAAAUAAGACAUAGCCAGAAUUCAGAACGCGACUGACACUGCUCGACCUCCAUCAAUCGACAGACGCCAACCACAAUCGAUCGACAGCAGUCGACCCCCAUCGAUCGGCAUACACCAUCACACAUUGAUCGAUAACCGCAUGAGAGCAUCGAUCAUUACCAAUCCGCCACGCCCACAUACGAAGAAGUCUCAACCAGAUUUCCACACCAUAGAAGAGAUAGAUCAGCUGGUAGAAGGGAUCUAUAGAGCUCUGGAAACCAUAGAGGGGAGGCUUGAUGGGGUGAUGUGAUGACAUCUAUUUCCCAAUGGAUCUUAGAAUUAGUGCUUUGACCUCCAAGGUUGAAGCUAUACAAGGGGAGUUGGUGGAGAUCCAGAGUUACAUUGCCUGUCGACCAGAAGCAGCGCUAUCGAUCGACAGAUGCACCAACAAAUCGAUCGACAUUCACAAUCAAACAUCGAUCGACAGUGAUAAAAACUGAGGCCGGCUAGUACCAAGGAUGACAUCGGACAUGUCCAACACACCUUACCAUAGAGAGGAGAUCUCAGCUGACACUUACGCCACACUUACCAGACAUCAGUCCACCUUCAGAGUCUUGGUGAAAGAUUGGAGAAGAUUGAAUUUACAACAGCAGCAAUGAAAGAUAAAUGGCGCAAAGGGGAUGAAGCAAUGAGAGACUUCACUGGUACAUGGUUCAACAAGUGUAAAGAAGAGAUGGAUACUUUUUUUCCAGCAAGUCCCAGCUCUCAACAUUACUAGCCAAAACACCUCCAAAGUCAAGCUAAAUGACUAUAACAAAGCAUUGAGUGGGAGGCAACCCACUAUUAGGUAAUAUUUCUUAUGUUUUUAAUAUACUAUUUAUGUUGGUUUUUAAUUAUUGCACGUCAUAUAAAAAAAAAGAGAGAAGAUACGAGGAGACGAUUGCCAUCUCAAUCGACCGACGUGAACCUAUCGACAUCACUUUACCUGCAUCGACCGAUAACAACAUCCUUACAUCAGUCGACAUUCAUUCCGGUAUGGUAUAUCGUUUUUAGUUGAUACAUUGAGUCCUUAUGAUUAAUUUCUAACCAUAGUUCCGACUGAAUUUACACUAGGGACAGUGUAGUUUAUUAUUGAUAUUUAUUUACUUAUUAGUCUUAUUAAAAUGUUUUCAAAUUAAGUUAUUAUUGAGUCAAGAAGGGGAUUACGAACUUUAAGAUUUUGCUAGAUAUCUAACCACUCUUUAGCAUCAUUCUAGACUUACUGAUUGCAGAUAGUACUAAAGAUACUAAAGUGGAUCAACCUGUCAACUAUCCACUCUUGCUAAGAUUGUUUUGAAGGAACCAAAACGGACCUCCAACAGUAAAAUUGACACAACUGCUUUUCUUGGGGCUUGGUAUGCAUGGGAUCGGAUUCUUCAAACAAGUUUGGAAGGUAAAGCCUUGUGUAUAUAGAUUUAUCACCCUUUCUCUCUCUAUUUUUGAAAUAUAGAUAAAAAAAGAAAAAAAAAUUAUUAUAUAUUUAUUAUUAUAAUAGAGAUUUAUUAGGAAGGAAUUCGAACAAGUCUGACUUGGUGGCUACAACCAUUAAGGCUUGCUUCAUAAGAAUUUCAUAGGUAAAAGAUUAGAACAUCAAUUGGUGGUUACAACCAUUAAGGCUUCCUUCACAAAUAAUCCUAGGAUAUAUGUCAAAAAGAAGUGAACAGGACUUGGUGGCAACCACCAUUAAGGCUUGAUUCAUGGAAGCAUGUCCAAUCUUGGUCAAUGAUUUUGCAUAUAAGCAGAUUUUGACCAAGAGAGAAGAUAGGAACUAAUGUUUACCUGUAGGUCCAGACAAUUGUUUGAGAAUCCUUGCAUCAUGUGAUCGAUACUCCCACGGUAAAGUCUUCACUUUUACUUUAUGCUAAGAAGUGAGGUUGGUAGAGGGGAAUGAAAGAAAAGAUUUGCUAAGUUGUUGGCUAGAUGAAUUUGGUUGCUAAGCUAGGAUCUUGUAUAAGGUGGUUUUGUGAUUAGGAUUUCUUAGAUGUGGAUUGCAAUAUUGUAGAGGUGAUGAUUCUAAGUUUUAAAUCAUGUGAGUCUCUGCUGUUUUAAAACCUCUUUCAGAGAGACUGCCUAGUUUAUAGGCGGUUUUAUCAAAGGGUAAGUUUGGGGGAGUCGAUAGACUAUGGAUUUAACUCAUUUUCAUCCAUAGUUUAUAGGCGGUUUUAUUAAUAAUUAUUAUAUUAUAGUCUAUUUAUUAUAUUUAUAAGAACAUGAGUGUUUUGGAGAUAAGUGACGAUUUUGGAGCAUUUUGGAGAUAUUUGGAGCAAGCAUCCGAGAUGACUAUCGAGAAUCGACAAUCGUUCGAUAUUGGAGAGGAAUAAUCGAUCGAUACCGCAUGACUUGGUAUCGAUCGACAAUGAAGCGUGCAGAAAACCCGUUUGGUCACGUCGGACUUGAAGCCCAAGACUUCACCAUUUUACAAGAUUACCCCUGACGAGUUUUGCCCUAAUUGUAUGAGUUUUGCCGCCAUGUUAGAGGCAAAGUGUGCUUUCAUUGUUUUACUAUUUUCACAUCAAAGUUUUUUAGGAUUUUUAUAAUUUCGAGAGAAGAUCCAAAGUUAUAAUUUGUGAUUGGAACUCCAUUGAUAUCUAUUUACUAUUCUAAUGAAGUUUUUAUACUUAACCGCAUUUAUGAAUUGCUUAGCCAUGUAUGAGUAGUUCCAUUGUUAGAUUUAGGGUUUAAAUAGGUUAGGAGGAAUUAUCCCCAACUAUAGAUUGCUGUGUUGUGAUAUUCAUCUUUAGGAUUGUUCAUUAAUGCAUGUAUCUAGUUUAGCUACCUAGAACAUGCCCUUGGAUUGAUUGAUAAACGCGAAAGCUUUAUUCUCAUCAUGAAAACAGUCUAAUAGAACUAUGUUUCUUGCUAUGAGCAAGGCGAGAGCUGAUCUAGUAAGCUCAGUCAACAUUCAUUCAACCUGCGCAUAAAAUUUGACUAGAGCGCGUCGAUCGAUAUCAAACUUGAAUAAUCGAUCAACGGUGCAAAAGGUGUAUCGAUCGAUAUCCCAGUAGAUCAAUCGAUCGACUCUUUCCAUUGAUCAAUAUAACGAGAGUUGAGAUUAUAGAUGUAGUUAAUAGACAAGUCAAUACAUGCGAAAGCUGAUUGACUAGUUGAUCAAAGUAGUUGAGCUUUACAUUAUCAUGCAUGCAACUCAUUAGGCAUCUAUAGGAUUAUAAUCUCAAAUUUCCUGAAUAAAAACCCAAGUCGAACUAUUUCCUUUUUAAGCACCAAAAUCCCAAACCUGAUAUUAAACAAACACUUGUUCAAUAUAAAACUGCAAUUUAUAUUUAAAACUCUAAAAACAAUCUUACUUAACAAAUCAUAUUAGAAAUCCUUAGGUUCCCUAGCUCCCUGUGAAUUUGAUCCCUAAGUACUACAGUCCUUAGGGCAAUUUGAGUGGUAUCACUACAAUGAGGGAGAUAACCAGGGCGUCGUGGUGAGGAGUGAGGACUUUCUCGUGCUCCUUGGCUGUGAAACUUAUUUCGUCCGUCCCUAGGAGCAGGCAUUUUGGCUUGGCUGCUUCUAGGCUGUGCUUGGCGUUCUAGGUGCUUUUCUUCGCGGCUUCAUGACUUAUGCCGUUGACUUCCGAACCGCCCUAGAUGACAUAGAUCACUCGGUCCUGUCGCAGUGGCGAGAUGGGAGCAGCUUCAGUGGGCUUACGCGUUGUAUCCCUACUGAUAUCUCUGCUUUCAAGAGAGGCAUGCUCCUCGACAGAGACCUCUACAAGGAGCUGACCAAAUAUCAGUGCAAAACCAUGGAAGACUUCCUAUCUCGAGCCUGGCCGCAGGUAAAAUGGGAAGACGUCGCCAGUCGUGCUAAAACGCAAAAAAAGCAAGAUCCCAAGACGAUCAGACCAGACCAAACUGAGCAAGACGAGAAAUCCUCUCAAAUACCAGCUAGGGACUCCGGAAAUCAAAACCGGGCAGGUACUUGAACCGGCCGAUCGAGAAGGCAAAAGGGAUGGCAGUGUCCAUGUGGGCAAACAUCUCUCACCUCUCCGUCUCAAGGCCGGAGCUGGUCUGAUGGGCCAGCAGGUUAAGUGGCCUCAGAAGAUGAAAGCCCCCGACUCUUUCCGGAACCCUAGUUUCUGGUGCGACUCCCACCGAUACCACGGUCACAAAACGGAGGACUGCGUCACACUAAAGA